GAUGAACGCUGGCGGCGUGCCUAACACAUGCAAGUCGAGCGAUUCUCUUCGGAGAAGAGCGGCGGACGGGUGAGUAACGCGUGGGUAACCUGCCCUGUACACACGGAUAACAUACCGAAAGGUAUGCUAAUACGAGAUGAUAUAUAAAAGUUGCAUGACUUUUAUAUCAAAGCUUUUGCGGUACAGGAUGGACCCGCGUCUGAUUAGCUAGUUGGUAAGGUAACGGCUUACCAAGGCGACGAUCAGUAGCCGACCUGAGAGGGUGAUCGGCCACACUGGAACUGAGACACGGUCCAGACUCCUACGGGAGGCAGCAGUGGGGAAUAUUGCACAAUGGGCGAAAGCCUGAUGCAGCAACGCCGCGUGAGCGAUGAAGGCCUUCGGGUCGUAAAGCUCUGUCCUCAAGGAAGAUAAUGACGGUACUUGAGGAGGAAGCCCCGGCUAACUACGUGCCAGCAGCCGCGGUAAUACGUAGGGGGCUAGCGUUAUCCGGAAUUACUGGGCGUAAAGGGUGCGUAGGCGGUCUUUCAAGCCAGAAGUGAAAGGCUACGGCUCAACCGUAGUAAGCUUUUGGAACUGUAGGACUUGAGUGCAGGAGAGGAGAGUGGAAUUCCUAGUGUAGCGGUGAAAUGCGUAGAUAUUAGGAGGAACACCAGUAGCGAAGGCGGCUCUCUGGACUGUAACUGACGCUGAGGCACGAAAGCGUGGGGAGCAAACAGGAUUAGAUACCCUGGUAGUCCACGCCGUAAACGAUGAGUACUAGGUGUCGGGGGUUACCCCCCUCGGUGCCGCAGCUAACGCAUUAAGUACUCCGCCCGGGAAGUACGCUCGCAAGGGUGAAACUCAAAGGAAUUGACGGGGACCCGCACAAGUAGCGGAGCAUGUGGUUUAAUUCGAAGCAACGCGAAGAACCUUACCUAAGCUUGACAUCCCAUUGACCUCUCCCUAAUCGGAGAUUUCCCUUCGGGGACAGUGGUGACAGGUGGUGCAUGGUUGUCGUCAGCUCGUGUCGUGAGAUGUUGGGUUAAGUCCCGCAACGAGCGCAACCCUUGCCUUUAGUUGCCAGCAUUAAGUUGGGCACUCUAGAGGGACUGCCGAGGAUAACUCGGAGGAAGGUGGGGAUGACGUCAAAUCAUCAUGCCCCUUAUGCUUAGGGCUACACACGUGCUACAAUGGGUGGUACAGAGGGUUGCCAAACCGUGAGGUGGAGCUAAUCCCUUAAAGCCAUUCUCGGUUCGGAUUGUAGGCUGAAACUCGCCUACAUGAAGCUGGAGUUACUAGUAAUCGCAGAUCAGAAUGCUGCGGUGAAUGCGUUCCCGGGUCU
Molecule: ribosomal RNA, 1324 nt
Filed under: uncultured bacterium
Lineage: Bacteria
Description: bacterial SSU rRNA
Rfam family: Bacterial small subunit ribosomal RNA
Source: RNAcentral